This is a non-coding RNA of Chionomys nivalis (European snow vole), 924 nucleotides long. The record is from the annotation of a RefSeq genome assembly. NCBI's taxonomy places the organism in Eukaryota, Metazoa, Chordata, Mammalia, Rodentia, Cricetidae.
AUGGACGUGACCUGGAGUAAGAGUGGAAAUAAUAUAAGUGAAGACAAUAAGACAGACUUCCCGCCUGUCCUGGCCUCCACGGGCCGGUACACCAUGAUCAGCCGGUUGACCCUGUUAGCUGACCAGUGCCCAGCUGACGAUUUUGUGACAUGCUCCGUGGAACACGACUCUGAUCCCGCCAAAGAUGUGGAAGUGCCCUGCACAAUACCUGUUCCCCCACCAGAUUGCUGCGAAUCCCGCCUGACACUGCUCCGGCCAGCUCUCGAGGACCUGCUCAUGGGUUCAGAGGCCAGCCUCACAUGUACAGUGAGGGGCGUGAAAAAGGGCGAGAUACCCGUUUUCACCUGGCAGCCCAGCACUGGGAAGGACGCAGUGACGAAGGAACCUGUGCUGGACGCCUGCGGCUGCUACAGUGUGUCCAGCGUCCUGCCUGGCUGUGCUGAGCGCUGGAACAGUGGGGAGAAGUUCACGUGCACAGUUAAACUCCCUGGCCAGUCUGACACCCUAACUGCCACAAUUGCCAAAGUCACAGACCCCUUGCUACCCCAGGUCCACCUGCUGCCGCCGCCGUCGGAGGAGCUGGCCCUGAAUGAGCUGGUGUCCCUGACAUGCCUGGUGCGAGGAUUCUACCCUGAAGAUGUGCUGGUGCGUUGGCUGCAUGGAAACCAGGAGCUGUCUCGUGAAAACUACCUGGUGUGGAAACCCAAGAAGGAACUAGGCGAGGGUCCCACCACCUAUGCAGUGACGAGCGUGCUGCGUGUGCCUGCUGAUGCGUGGAAACAGGGUGACAACUACUCCUGCAUGAUUGGCCACGAGGCUUUGCCCAUGGGCUUCACCCAGAAGACCAUCGACCGUCACGCGGGUAAACCCACCCAAGUCAAUGUGACUGUGAUCACGUCAGAGGCAGAUGGCGUCUGCUACUGA